This 499-nucleotide ribosomal RNA is filed under the name uncultured Glomeromycotina. RNAcentral describes it as "partial small subunit ribosomal RNA". It matches the Rfam family "Eukaryotic small subunit ribosomal RNA", at positions 591 to 1092 of the family's 1831-position model. The record is from RNAcentral. Lineage: Eukaryota; Fungi; Glomeromycota.
CCAAUAGCGUAUAUUAAAGUUGUUGCAGUUAAAAAGCUCGUAGUUGAAUUUCGGAAUCAAUAUAUCGGUCGUGCCUUGGUACGUACUGGUAUCAUUGGUUUCUCCUUUCUGACGAACCAUGAUGUCAUUAAUUUGGUGUUAUGGGGAGUUAGGACUGUUACUUUGAAAAAAUUAGAGUGUUUAAAGCAGGCUUUAGCUUGAAUACAUUAGCAUGGAAUAAUGAAAUAGGACGUUCGGACCUAUUUUGUUGGUUUCUAGGAUCAACGUAAUGAUUAAUAGGGAUAGUUGGGGGCAUUAGUAUUCAAUUGUCAGAGGUGAAAUUCUUGGAUUUAUUGAAGACUAACUACUGCGAAAGCAUUUGCCAAGGAUGUUUUCAUUAAUCAAGAACGAAAGUUAGGGGAUCGAAGACGAUCAGAUACCGUCGUAGUCUUAACCCUAUACUAUGCCGACUAGGGAUCGGAUGAUGUUAAUUUUUUAAUGACUCAUUCGGCGCCUUACG